CUACGGGUUGCAGCAGUGGGGAAUAUUGCACAAUGGACGAAAGUCUGAUGCAGCAACGCCGCGUGGAGGAUGACACAUUUCGGUGCGUAAACUCCUUUUAUAUAGGAAGAUAAUGACGGUACUAUAUGAAUAAGCGCCGGCUAACUCCGUGCCAGCAGCCGCGGUAUACGGAGGGCGCAAGCGUUACUCGGAAUCACUGGGCGUAAAGAGCGUGUAGGCGGAUAGAUAAGUUGGGAGUGAAAUCCUAUGGCUCAACCAUAGAACUGCUUCCAAAACUGUUUAUCUAGAGUAUGGGAGAGGUAGAUGGAAUUUCUGGUGUAGGGGUAAAAUCCGUAGAGAUCAGAAGGAAUACCGAUUGCGAAGGCGAUCUACUGGAACAUUACUGACGCUGAGACGCGAAAGCGUAGGGAGCAAACAGGAUUAGAUACCCGUGUAGUC
This 438-nucleotide ribosomal RNA is filed under the name uncultured bacterium. Its description in RNAcentral is "partial 16S ribosomal RNA". It matches the Rfam family "Bacterial small subunit ribosomal RNA", at positions 339 to 795 of the family's 1533-position model. The record is from RNAcentral.